GAUGAACGCUGGCGGCGUGCCUAAUACAUGCAAGUCGAACGCGCAGCGAAAGGUGCUUGCACCUUUCAAGCGAGUGGCGAACGGGUGAGUAACACGUGGAUAACCUGCCUCAAGGCUGGGGAUAACAUUUGGAAACAGAUGCAAAUACCGAAUAAAACUUAGUAUCGCAUGAUACAAAGUUGAAAGGCGCUACGGCGUCACCUAGAGAUGGGUCCGCGGUGCAUUAGUUAGUUGGUGGGGUAAAGGCCUACCAAGACAAUGAUGCAUAGCCGAGUUGAGAGACUGAUCGGCCACAUUGGGACUGAGACACGGCCCAAACUCCUACGGGAGGCUGCAGUAGGGAAUCUUCCACAAUGGGCGAAAGCCUGAUGGAGCAACGCCGCGUGUGUGAUGAAGGCUUUAGGGUCGUAAAGCACUGUUGUAUGGGAAGAAAUGCUAGAAUAGGGAAUGACUCUAGUUCGACGGUACCAUACCAGAAAGGGACGGCUAAAUACGUGCCAGCCGCCGCCGUAA
Molecule: ribosomal RNA, 513 nt
Filed under: uncultured bacterium
Lineage: Bacteria
Description: partial 16S ribosomal RNA
Rfam family: Bacterial small subunit ribosomal RNA
Source: RNAcentral